This is a long non-coding RNA of Pieris brassicae (large cabbage white), 470 nucleotides long. RefSeq lists it as uncharacterized. The record is from RefSeq and is a predicted model, not a curated record. NCBI's taxonomy places the organism in Eukaryota, Metazoa, Arthropoda, Insecta, Lepidoptera, Pieridae. The transcript is spliced from 2 exons.
AUAAAAAACGCUGUCAAAAUUCGCUGAAUUAUAAAAGAUAUAAAAAAUUUUCAGUAAUUUAUUAAAUCAAGCUUCAAUAUUUAACAACUUAGUCAAACUAAAAGGAUAAAGUUAAAUGUGUUUAAUGGUAUACAUAUUACCUCUAUUAGUAAGUCCAUUUGUUUCUUGCAUUCCAUGCUGUAAUUGUUGUAUGGACUGUAUCGUACCGGAUGAAAAGCCAGACCCUGGAUAGAAAUAUAUAGCAAAUCUGACUUCAGCCACUGUCAGGGCUGGUUGCAUGUGCCAGUUUCUGACGUAUCUGCUAAUUCCCAAUGUGUCUAAACCCAUGUGUAAUAUUCAGCUGUCCAUUUAUAGCUAGUCUCUGCGUCGGUUGUCUACCGAUAUUCUGUCCAGGUAUAAUCAAAUGCUGUUAUGUAGAAGAUGACGGCGAGCCACCUUACGAGAAAAGUAAUAAUAUAAAAUAUUAACAG